Molecule: long non-coding RNA, 964 nt
Organism: Canis lupus familiaris (dog)
Lineage: Eukaryota; Metazoa; Chordata; Mammalia; Carnivora; Canidae
Exons: 2
Source: RefSeq, a predicted model, not a curated record
GCUCCUGCCUUCUGGGCUUCUGUAACACCUUCCUACCCAUCCUUGGACCCAAGAGACAAGAAACAAAUAGUAUGGAAGGUUUGGGACCUUCUCAGAGGGUCCACAUGCUGCCACAGCCUUCCUUCUCUUGGAACACUCGUGGAAGGAGAUCUUGAGAAAGGAGCACGGGCUGCAGAAUUUUGCACUGGAUCUUAGCCGAAAGGCCAAAAGGCCAAGAGAAGCGCUGGGUCCCUAGAAUGUCGAAUUUAAGGAAGAAGGUUGGGUGCCUGGCGGGGUCUGAGCCCCCUUUCUCAUGGAGAUUCUCCUAAUCUCUCCCGGAUGGUGGGACCACCAUUCCUUGCCUUUUGAAUUCAGAUUCCUUUUCAAAUGAGCUGUGUUUCUUGGUCCUGUUCAAUAUUUCAGCAGGAGGAGCUCAGAAGACGUGGAGGCGGGUCUGCAGAGACACUAAUAAACCACCAAGUGUCUUGAGGAGACAGUGAGGAGACCAGCUCUCCAGAAGGAAAGCCCUGCAAGCCAGGGCAAUUGGAGGCGAGGCCGGCCAGAGAGUCUGGAAGCAGCAUGCAGGCGCCGUCUGCACCAGGCUGCCAGGACCGCGCUCUUCCGUGGGAAACAUUUGAACUGGGAUGUGACCCAGGGUGUAAUUCAGAAGAUCACCCCUCUGCUCAGCAAAGGAAAAGGAAAACAGCAUAGGUCUCCUGACCCUUUCUUUUAUUUCAGCUACAAUUGAAAAAUGGGCACUAAAGCAGACGAUUGGAAUUUCCAGAUCCUAAGAGCGUGUUCCCCAGUCCCUACAAAGAAAGGAUGAUGAAAACGGAGCUGCAAACAGUUCCCCUCAGCACGGCGGGCCCUCAAAGUAUCUCUGCAUCACUUGCUUCCAGAUGCUUCCUAAUUCUUGCUUCUAUUCCACUUUAGCUUUGGGCCCUCUCUUUGGGUGGCAAUUUGAAUACUAUUGUAUUUGGUCCUC